AGAGAGAACAGUGCCAUGAAGGAGUCCCUUGUUUUACUUGCAUCCUCUGUCAUUCUGACUGCAAGAAUCCAGGACACGUGGAAGUCCAUCGUAUCACAUGGAAGUGCCCCCAGGGAAGGCCUUGCCAAGUCCUCGGCUCUUUCCUGUGCUGGAGCCCCGCUGGAAUCCCAGGGGUCUGGAAAAAGGAAAGGAUGCAUCUAGAAGAGGAAAAUACUCACAGAGGUCAUCUCGUGUGCUAAAGGAACUGCUGAAGGAAAUGGAGAAGGCAGCGCGUGGGACUGACCAACAAACUGCACAGGACGUGCUGCAGGAAGGCAGCCAUCCCACGCUGCCAGUCUGGGACAGAGAAACACAGACAGCGCCAACAACUGGCAUGCCAGGGAUGAAUGCUGGGAAAAACACAAGGGCUGCGGUUCAGGAGUUUGUACAAGUGCUCUUCUUCCCAGUGAUUGCACUGCUUUUAACAGUGCUGCUGUCUGCGCUGGUGAUGACUUGUACUGCUGUGUCAUGGAUGUGGCAAAAAUAUCCAGUGUGCAAGAGAGCAGAGACAACUCCAGGACAAGCUCAUCCUGACAGUGUGCGGGAGAGAGGCCAGUCUGGAGGUGAAGGCAGAGCGGAGCUGGGAGAGGCAACAAAAGAUGAUGUAGUUGCCCAAGAAAACAAGAACUUGUACAGCGGAUCCAGCCCGUUCCCCUCCUCCUUUGAAGCAGA
This is a long non-coding RNA of Gallus gallus (chicken), 711 nucleotides long. Lineage: Eukaryota; Metazoa; Chordata; Aves; Galliformes; Phasianidae. The record is from Ensembl.